GAGGGCAAGUGUGGUGCCAGCAGCCGCGGUAAUUCCAGCUCUCAAAAAGCAUAGAAUUAUUGCUGCGGUUAAAAAGAUCGUAGUUGGAUCUGUGCUGGGAAAAGGGUCCGCCUUCGGGUGUGCACUCAGCUUCCCGGUUUUUAGCUGGUUUUCCCGUUGUGGCCUUUACCGGUUGCAACGGGUGGCUGGCGAGUUUACCUGAAGAAAUCAAAGUGCUUAAUACCGGCGAUCCGC
RNAcentral lists this ribosomal RNA (234 nucleotides) under Aphelenchus sp. 2 MK-2017. Its description in RNAcentral is "partial 18S rRNA". It matches the Rfam family "Eukaryotic small subunit ribosomal RNA", at positions 551 to 794 of the family's 1831-position model. Lineage: Eukaryota; Metazoa; Nematoda; Chromadorea; Rhabditida; Aphelenchidae. The record is from RNAcentral.